Brassica napus (rape) is the source of this 1414-nucleotide RNA transcript. It is a transcript of the gene named probable choline kinase 2, with no coding region annotated. The transcript is spliced from 8 exons. The record is from RefSeq and is a predicted model, not a curated record. Lineage: Eukaryota; Viridiplantae; Streptophyta; Magnoliopsida; Brassicales; Brassicaceae.
GUACAAGGACUUAAAUAAAAAAAUUAGAAGCUCAGAUAAAACUAUACGUUAUUUGCUAAAACAGUCCUUUUAUUUCCUUGUUUACACCGGAUCUUGCCAUGAUCCUGAUUCUAUCCUCUGCAUCUUCCUCGUACUGCGCAACGUUCUCUUUCUCGAACGAACUAGAUACUACGAUGGGUGCUAACGAAACGAAUGUGGAGAGCAAAGAGUACCGUCUCUCUCGAGAAGUGAAGGAAGCUCUACAAGCUAUAGCGUCUGAGUGGGAAGACGUGAUCGAUUCCAAGGCACUGCAAGUGAUUCCUCUGAAAGGUGCGAUGACCAACGAGGUUUUCCAGAUCAAGUGGCCCACUAGGGAAAGUGGGCCUUCUCGUAAGGUUCUCGUUAGGAUUUACGGUGAAGGCGUUGGGAUAUUCUUUGACCGUGAGGAUGAGAUCAGGACGUUUGAGUUCAUGUCUAAGCAUGGUCAUGGGCCUUUGUUGUUGGCUCGGUUUGGUAAUGGUCGUAUCGAAGAGUUUCUCCAUGCACGGACACUAUCUGCUUCUGAUUUGCGUGAUCUUGUGAUAUCUGGUCGGAUAGCGACUAGGAUGAAGGAGUUUCAUGGUCUUGACAUGCCUGGUGUGAAGAAGGCUUUGCUUUGGGACAGGCUACGAAAAUGGCUGGUUGCAUGCAAGAGACUGGCUUCACCUGAAGAAGCCAAGUCAUUUCGUCUCGAUGUUAUGGAGAUGGAAAUUAAUUUGCUUGAGAAGUCUCUGUUUAAGAGUGAUGAAAAGAUUGGGUUUUGCCACAAUGAUUUGCAGUAUGGGAACAUAAUGAUGGAUGAGGAAACCAAAGCAAUAACCAUCAUUGUGAGGAUUAUGAAUAUUCUUGCUACAAUCCAGUGGCUUAUGACAUUGCCAAUCACUUCUGCGAGAUGGCUGCUGAUUACCACACUGACACACCUCACAUCAUGGAUUACACUAAAUACCCUGGUGUGGAGGAGCGUAAACGAUUUGUGAAAACAUAUAUGAGUCCUUCAGGUGAAGAACAGCCCAGUGAUACAAUGGUCAAAAAACUCCUUGAAGAUGUUGAGAAAUAUACACUUGCUAGUCAUCUAACUUGGGGUUUAUGGGGAAUCAUAUCGGAACAUGUGAAUGAAAUCGACUUCGACUACAUGGAGUACGCAAGACAAAGGCUUAACCAGUAUUGGUUAACAAAGCAGAGGCUCAUUGGUAAUCCUUGAGGGCUUCAAACAUUAGUAAACUUCUAUGGACGCAUUUCAAGGAGAGUAGUAAUGGUGGUAAAGAGGUAUACAUAAUACAACGAUAUCUACCAGCUUAGAACAAUAAAAAAAAUGUAACGUUCUGUUUCACUUUCUUAUAAGAAGUUAAGUGUAAGGCUGAGUACAAUUUGAUUAGUUUCAGAUGACAUUUUCUCA